CGUGAGGGAAAGUUGAAAAGUACUUUGAAGAGAGAGUAAACAGUGCGUGAAACCGCUCAGAGGUAAACGGGUGGAGUUGAACUGCGUGCUUUGAGAAUUCAGCUGGUGAUUGUAUUAUGAACUUGGUCAUUUUGGUUGAACUACGGGGUCUGCGUAACAGCAGGUCUUUGCCUUCGGGCAAGGAUGGACGAUGCACUCAUCAAGUGUUGUGCGCCUUGUUUGUUCUUCGAAUCAGUUGUCAGUGCACUUUCUCAGAGUGGUCACCACGACCGGCACUGCUGCCUGGCUGUUGUGGUUAAACCGGUUAGGCAUUGUCCUUGUGGCUUUGUUUAGUCGGGAAGGCAGGUAGCCCGUUGGUCUGCUUGUGGCUUGCUGCAAGUGUUGGCUUUCGGGUGUAAUCAGCUGACCAUGAUGGUUCUGUGUGGUGUGUCGGAGACGGCGGUUYGUGGUGCGUGCAUGUGCGGUAGUCUGCUGGCGUGUUCGGGUUUGGUUGCCAUGUUGUCUGUUCAAGCAGGCCUGGUGAUGGCUCGAAUUYGUUCGGCGGGUUAUUGUGUGUGUGGCACCGUUACAGGGCCCAUAGUCUGUGGUGUUGCGGUAGAUGAUCCACCUGACCCGUCUUGAAACACGGACCAAGGAGAGUAACAUGUGUGCGAGUCAUUGGGCGUAACGAAACCCAUAGGCGCAGUGAAAGUAAAGGUUUGGCCUGUCCAGACUGAGGUGAGAUCUCGUCGUUUCCUACACAUGGUGYCACCAAGUUUUGAGCGGCGAGCGCAUCACCGGCCCGUCCCAUGACGUAGACGGGGUCAUUUGACCCACGCAUCGUCGGGGCGGAGCAUGAGCGUACAUGUUGAGACCCGAAAGAUGGUGAACUAUGCUUGCGCAGGUUGAAGCCAGAGGAAACUCUGGUGGAGGACCGCAGCGAUUCUGACGUGCAAAUCGAUCGUCAAACGUGAGUAUAGGGGCGAAAGACUAAUCGAACCAUCUAGUAGCUGGUUCCCUCCGAAGUUUCCC
RNAcentral lists this ribosomal RNA (1011 nucleotides) under Ovipusillus geminus. RNAcentral describes it as "partial 28S large subunit ribosomal RNA". It matches the Rfam family "Eukaryotic large subunit ribosomal RNA", at positions 352 to 972 of the family's 3401-position model. The record is from RNAcentral. Lineage: Eukaryota; Metazoa; Platyhelminthes; Trematoda; Plagiorchiida; Monorchiidae.